This 497-nucleotide ribosomal RNA is filed under the name uncultured bacterium. RNAcentral's name for it is "partial 16S ribosomal RNA". It matches the Rfam family "Bacterial small subunit ribosomal RNA", at positions 28 to 507 of the family's 1533-position model. The record is from RNAcentral.
GAUGAACGCUGGCGGCGUGCCUAAUACAUGCAAGUCGAGCGAACAGAUGAGGAGCUUGCUCCUCUGACGUUAGCGGCGGACGGGUGAGUAACACGUGGAUAACCUACCUAUAAGACUGGGAUAACUUCGGGAAACCGGAGCUAAUACCGGAUAAUAUAUUGAACCGUAUGGUUCAAUAGUGAAAGACGGUUUUGCUGUCACUUAUAGAUGGAUCCGCGCCGCAUUAGCUAGUUGGUAAGGUAACGGCUUACCAAGGCAACGAUGCGUAGCCGACCUGAGAGGGUGAUCGGCCACACUGGAACUGAGACACGGUCCAGACUCCUACGGGAGGCAGCAGUAGGGAAUCUUCCGCAAUGGGCGAAAGCCUGACGGAGCAACGCCGCGUGAGUGAUGAAGGUCUUCGGAUCGUAAAACUCUGUUAUUAGGGAAGAACAAAUGUGUAAGUAACUAUGCACGUCUUGACGGUACCUAAUCAGAAAGCCACGGCUAGCUACGUG